RNAcentral lists this ribosomal RNA (468 nucleotides) under uncultured bacterium. RNAcentral describes it as "partial 16S ribosomal RNA". It matches the Rfam family "Bacterial small subunit ribosomal RNA", at positions 28 to 507 of the family's 1533-position model. The record is from RNAcentral.
GACGAACGCUGGCGGCGUGCUUAACACAUGCAAGUCGAACGGCAAGGCCCUGCUUUUGUGGGGUGCUCGAGUGGCGAACGGGUGAGUAACACGUGAGUAGCCUGCCCUUGACUUUGGGAUAACUUCAGGAAACUGGGGCUAAUAUCGGAUAGGAGCUCCUGCUGCAUGGUGGGGGUUGGAACGUUUCGGCGGUUGGGGAUGGACUCGCGGCUUACCAGCUUGCUGGUGGGGUAGUGGCUUACCAAGGCUUUGACGGGUAGCCGGCCUGAGAGGGUGACCGGCCACAUUGGGACUGAGAUACGGCCCAGACUCGUACGGGAGGCAGCAGUGGGGAAUAUUGCACAAUGGGCGGAAGCCUGAUGCAGCAACGCCGCGUGCGGGAUGACGGCCUUCGGGUUGUAAACCGCUUUCGCCUGUGACGAAGCGUGAGUGACGGUAAUGGGUGAAGAAGCACCGGCUAACUACGUG